RNAcentral lists this ribosomal RNA (120 nucleotides) under Pteropus alecto (black flying fox). Lineage: Eukaryota; Metazoa; Chordata; Mammalia; Chiroptera; Pteropodidae. The record is from RNAcentral.
UGCUAUGGCCAUGCUACCCUGAACAAGCCUGAUCCCAUCUGAUCUUGGAAGCUAAGCAUGGUCGGGCCUGGUUAUUACUAGGAUGGGAGACCACCUAGGAAGACCAGGCGCUUGUAGGCG